GAGAGCCGUGAUGCGGGGAAAGCUCGCACGUCCGGUUCGGGGAGGAGUCGCGCGGAAACGGCCCCCACAAGGGGCACCGCGCCGCGCGGCUUACUCCAC
RNAcentral lists this non-coding RNA (99 nucleotides) under Pseudosporangium ferrugineum. The record is from RNAcentral. Lineage: Bacteria; Bacillati; Actinomycetota; Actinomycetes; Micromonosporales; Micromonosporaceae.